This 217-nucleotide long non-coding RNA is filed under the name Lathyrus oleraceus (garden pea). RNAcentral describes it as "Pisum sativum (pea) long non-coding RNA (PSAT_LNC022886)". The record is from RNAcentral. Lineage: Eukaryota; Viridiplantae; Streptophyta; Magnoliopsida; Fabales; Fabaceae.
GGAUGCCAAGGUGUGACGCAAUGCUAAUACAUAUGAUGAGAUAGCAUGAGGGAUCUUGGGGUCAAAAUUAGGGUCUUACAAUAUGACAAAAAUUAUAGGAGAUAGGGUCUAGGGAACCCUAGAUUUUACUAGUUGGCUUUCUCUAGUCAACUUCUUUGAACCAACUUGUAAACUUGAAGUUCCUUUUAUAUUUGGGACCCAUGGAGGAUAAUAUAUG